GAAGAAGUGAGCAAGAACUGCUAACUCAUGCUACCGCGUUUAAACCCGCGGCUUUUUCA
RNAcentral lists this transfer RNA (59 nucleotides) under Saccopteryx leptura (lesser sac-winged bat). RNAcentral's name for it is "tRNA-Ser". The record is from RNAcentral. Lineage: Eukaryota; Metazoa; Chordata; Mammalia; Chiroptera; Emballonuridae.